AUUGAACGCUGGCGGCAUGCCUUACACAUGCAAGUCGAACGGUAACAGGUCCUCGGACGCUGACGAGUGGCGAACGGGUGAGUAAUACAUCGGAACGUGCCCAGUCGUGGGGGAUAACUACUCGAAAGAGUAGCUAAUACCGCAUACGAUCUGAGGAUGAAAGCGGGGGACCUUCGGGCCUCGCGCGAUUGGAGCGGCCGAUGGCAGAUUAGGUAGUUGGUGGGAUAAAAGCUUACCAAGCCGACGAUCUGUAGCUGGUCUGAGAGGACGACCAGCCACACUGGGACUGAGACACGGCCCAA
This 302-nucleotide ribosomal RNA is filed under the name uncultured bacterium. RNAcentral describes it as "bacterial SSU rRNA". It matches the Rfam family "Bacterial small subunit ribosomal RNA", at positions 30 to 334 of the family's 1533-position model. The record is from RNAcentral.